UACGGAGGGGGCGAGCGUUAUUCGGAAUUAUUGGGCGUAAAGGGCGCGUAGGCGGCUUGAUGUGUCAAAGGUGAAAUCCCUCGGCUCAACUGAGGAACUGCCUUUGAAACUGUCUGGCUUGAGGCCGGGAGAGGGUAGCGGAAUUCCUGGUGUAGCGGUGAAAUGCGCAGAUAUCAGGAGGAACACCAGCGGCGAAGGCGCUGCUCUGGGCCGGUACUGACGCUGAGGAGCGAAAGCGUGGGGAGCGAACAGG
RNAcentral lists this ribosomal RNA (253 nucleotides) under uncultured bacterium. RNAcentral's name for it is "partial 16S ribosomal RNA". It matches the Rfam family "Bacterial small subunit ribosomal RNA", at positions 524 to 776 of the family's 1533-position model. The record is from RNAcentral.